UUAGAUUUCUUUUCUCUCUACUACUCCUAUAGCAAAAUGGGGUUGUUUAACAUCUCAUUUUUGCUCAUUAGUCUCAUGGUAUUAACCAUAUUUCACACUUGUGAUUCCCAAAAUUCACCCCAAGACUAUUUUGCGGUUCACAACGAUGCCUGCGCCCAAGUUGGAGUUGGGCCAAUGUCUUAGGAUGCUUCACAACGAUGCCCGCGCCCAAGUUGGAAUUGGGCCAAUGUCUUAGGAUGCUGGCUUGGCAUCUCGAGCACAAAAUUAUGCCAACUCAAGAGCUGGUAAUUGCAACUUGAUUCAUUCUGGUGCAUGGGAGAACCUUGCCAAGACCGGUGGUAAUUUCACGGGGAGGGCCGCCGUGCAAUUGUGGGUAUCGAAAAAGCUAAACUACAACUACGGUACCCACCAAUGUGCUAGCGGGCAAAUGUGCGGACAUUAUACUCAAGUAGUUGGCGCAACUCAGUCCGACUAGGUUGUGGUCGGGUUCGUUGUAACAACGGGUGGUGGUUCAUUUCUUGCAACUAUGAUCAUGUAGGCAACUGGGCCGGAAAACGUCCUUAUUAAGGUGUCGUUUAUUUAUGACAUAUUGCUAGUAUUAAAUAAAAUUUUUAUAUUACAUGUCAAGGAGUUAAAAUUUAAAUCUGGCAAGUGGAUCGGAUCGAUCUCCUAUAUAUCCAAGAUGUUAAGGGAUCAAAUAUAUAAUUAUUGUUUUGAUUUCCCUUUGAUAUUGCUAGUAUGAAUAAUUCCACGUAUCAUAUGUUCAUGGUAUCGUGCUUAGGUUCUUUACUUUUUCAAAAUUAUGAAAUUUAUAUAUUAAAAAAUUAAGUGGAGUAAUUAAUUGGGAAAACUACAUAGAUAGAUCCAAUUAUGAAAAUUUAUCUAAUUUGGACUUUAUUCAAACUUUUUAUCUUUAAUGGAUCUAUGCCACAAACAAUUUAUCCGUUUAUCCACUUUCUCCUUUCUUAUUUCACGUAUGAUAUCAGAAUAACGUUAGCAUAACUAUUAUGAAUUUAUCUUUUGUGAUAUAUCUUGUCAGUAUCAUAUAGGAUUUAACUCUUUUUUUAAAAAUAAUUAAGAAAAAAUUAUUAAAGUCACAAUAUUAUUUACUAAACUCUACAUUAGAAGAAAUUAUAUUUUUUAAAUUAGAAUAGAGUUACCCUCAAUGAUACCAUGAUACUAUGUAGAUAUACUGCAAUUGUAUCAUGGACGAUUAAAUAUUCUCAUCGAAGGACUAAAGCGAACCAUAAUGAAAACAUUGUUCAAUUACUCAUUAAUACCAUCCGAGUAUAUUAUACUUGAUCAUAUCAAAGAGGAAGAAACAGUUCUUCAAUGAAGACAUUGUUUAAUGACACUUUUAUACCAUCAGAGUAUAUUAAUAUAUGACUGUAUUAUAUUGUGAUGAUAUAGUAUAUAAUUGUAUUUGAUUUUCAAAAUCACAGUGUAGUUUUGACGGACUCAAACUAGCAAGUCUUUUCCAAAACAAACAAGUAAUUCCAAACAAUUUGUAUUAUAUUUUAAUACGAACACAGUCAAAUAAAAAAAGAGAUAAGUGUCAUAAAUACACCUAAACUAUACAUUUUUUUGAGUUUUUUAAAAUAUUGAAAGUUUCAUUACCUAACCUAUCACUUUUUAGUUUGAGAAACACACCUCUCUCUUUUAUACCACUUUCAUCAUGAUAUGUGUAAUACACACUCUCUCUCUUUUAUUUUAAAGAAUUUUCACAUCACACUCCACAUGGACAAAAUAUUCAAUCUUGACAAAAAAUAAAUAAAUUAUUAGUAUUAGUUAAAAUUAAAAAUUAAGAAACUAUUAUAAAAAAUAAUAUUUUCUUUAUAAAAGAAAAUGUAAAAUAUUUUUCUUAUCCCGCGCUGUUUCUUAAAGUUUUUUAUUUUGUUUAAAUUUCUUUUAUAAAAGUAUUUCAUUUUUUACUUCAUCUCCUCCCCUUCAUCAAAUACUAAUUUAAGUAUUAUUGUAUUUGCUUAAAAAUAUAAUUCUACCCAUCUCACUUAAUCCUCAGCUUUCAGUUUUUUCCCCAGUGUUUAGGUAUAUAUAUAUCGAAAAUAUUUUUACUUGUUGUCAUAAGACUUUUUAUUUUUUUUAGUUGUUUAUGUUAUAUUCGGUACACUAGUAGAAUUUUUUUCUCUAAAAAUAUAUGUACGUGCAUAUCUAACACAAAAUAAGAAAAACGUAAAAAAAAAAAUUAGAAGCGAAAAAUUUAAUAGGAUGUGAUAGAUUUUCUAAAAAUAAAUAAGUAUCAAUUUCUAUCCGGGGGGGGGGGGGUGUGGAGGGGAGGGGGUGGAUGAAAUAUGAAAUUUUUAAGAAUAUUUUAUAAAUAAUUUUUUUUAAAAAAAAGGAUGGGGAUGUCGCGGGGGAGGGAGGGGGGUACGUAAAGAAGGUGGUGGAGUGAGAUAAGAAAAAUAAUUUAAUUUUUUAUGUGCAUAGUAAUCUUUAAUUUUUAAUUAAUAUUAAUUUUUUACUGUUUAAUUUUUAUCUAGAUAAAAUAUUUUAUCUAUGUGGAAUGUCAUGUGUCAAAGUUUUUUAAUAUAAAAGAGAGAGUACACUAUACACACCACUGAGAUGUGUUUCUCAAACUAAAACGGGAUAGUUUAAAUAUGAAACUCACACUUUCGAUAGUUUAGAUAUGAAACUAAAAAAUAAAUAAUUUAAAUUUGUUUUUGAUUCUUCUCUGUAAAAUAAAUAUAUAUAUAUAUAUAUAUAUAUAUAUAUAUAUAUAUUAUCACCGAACAAAGGGAAAAUCAAAACUCUAAUAUAUUAUCAUUCACCGAAUCAAAAUCAGUGAAUUAAAAACUAUAUAAAAAUCCAUAAAUAAUUAUGUGAUGGAAUAGGAAUUCUACACACCAUAGUGAUUACCGUUGAACAUCUUUCGCCAAAAAAUUAUAUUUUAUAUAUAUACACGCUAGAAAUUACUUAAUGUGCGUAGAUAUAAUUAAACAUAUCAAACUAUUUAUGCUAUAUUUAAUACUUAUUUAAAUCGUAACUAUUUAUUCUAAAUUCAGCUCUAACACUUUUUAAAAAGUUUUUAAAAUUUUCUUUCGAAGCUACAAGGAUUGAGGCAGUUUCUAAUUUCCACAUAAAGGACCAAAAAAUUGUUUUGGUUUAAGUGUCUAUCACUUCCAUUGUUUGUUGUUUUCAUUAUAUCCAAAUUGCUUUCAAUGACUAACAAAUACUUGAGUCUUCUCUCUCUCAUAGAAUAACUUUCUUCCAAUAAAUCCACGUAAGGGCGGCUCAAUAAGUGUUGUUUAAUAUUAUCUAAAUAAUAGAGUAAAGUAUGAUUAUUCUUUAAAGCAUAUAGUAUUUCCUUAAUCACACGACAUGCAAUCUCCUUUGAAUUUUCUUCACAUGUGAAAUAAAAUUCCACAAAGUUUAAAUUUAACAAUUUUCACAAAUUUGAUUAAAUUGAACAAUCAAAGUUUGAUAAAUAUCUUAUCGAAACCAAAAGUGUUCACUUUUGAAAAAUAUAAAGGACCAAAAAAGAUCACUUUUGACAAUCUUAAGGACCAAAAUUGCUCUUAUCAUACAUAAGGGAGUCUAUUGAAACUACUAAAAAGAUAAGGAAGCCUUUUUGUCAUUUCUCUAUAAUUUCCUUUGAAUUUUCUUCAUACAUGCUAAACAAAAUUACACAAUGUUUAAUUAUAUAUACACUAUUUAAAGGACCAAAAGUAAUUAAUUCUAAAAAGUUUUAAGGACCAAAAUCACUUAGCAAAAUACACAAGAGACUAUUUUGAACUUACUAUCAAAGAUAAGAGACCAUUUUUAUCAUUUCCUCUACUAAUAAUUUCCUUUGAAUUUUCUUCACACAUACUUAGCAAAAUUCCACAAUUUUUACUUAUAAAUACACUACUUAUCUCACGUUUAUAAUCACAAUAACUUAGAUUUAUUUUCUCUCCACUAAACCUAAAGAAAAAUGGGGUUGUUCAACAUCUCAUUGUUACUCACUUGUCUCAUGGUAUUAGCCAUAUUUCACUCUUGUGAGGCCCAAAAUUCACCCCAAGACUAUCUUGCGGUUCAUAACGAUGCCCGUGCCCAAGUCGGAGUCGGGCCUAUGUCUUGGGAUGCCAACUUGGCAUCCCGAGCACAAAACUAUGCCAACUCAAGAGCUGGUGAUUGUAACUUGAUUCAUUCUGGUGCUGGGGAGAAUCUUGCCAAGGGUGGUGGUGACUUCACGGGGAGGGCAGCCGUGCAAUUGUGGGUGUCCGAGAGGCCAAGCUAUAACUACGCUACCAACCAAUGUGUUGGUGGAAAAAAGUGUAGACAUUAUACUCAAGUAGUCUGGCGCAACUCAGUCCGACUAGGUUGUGGUCGGGCACGUUGCAACAACGGAUGGUGGUUCAUUUCUUGCAACUAUGAUCCUGUAGGCAACUGGAUCGGACAACGUCCUUACUAAAAUGAUGUAUACUUAUGACAUGUUGCUAGUAUUAAAUAAAAUUCUCAUAUGAGACGUCGAGAAGUUAAAAUUUAAGUUUGACAUAUGAAUCAAGUCAAACUCCUAUCUAAAAUAUUAAGGGAUUAAAUAUUGAACAUCUAUAAUUAUUAUUAUUUCCCUUUUGAUGUUGCUAAUAUGAAUAAUUCCACAUACCAUAUGUUCAUAAUGGGCUUAAGUUGAUUAUUAAGUACUGCAUCUUCUUGUUUCCAUAAAACAUUAAUAUACAUAAAAUUUUAAUUAAGCAUGGCAUAUAUUAAUUAGGCACAUCAAGCACUUAUCUAAACACGUAACUAUUUAUUCAUAAAUUCAGUUUCAACCAUUCAAAAUAUUUGUUCUAUUUUAAGUGCCCAUCAAAAAAAAAUUCAAUCAUUACCCAAUUUUUUUUCAAUGACUAACAAAUACUCAAGUCUUCCAUAUUCUCUCAUACAAUAAUGGCCUAAAACUAUAUUUUCAUAAAAUAUUUUAUAGGUGAAAAUUGAAUUUCAUCCUUUCUUGACCUAUUGUCUUAGAUUUGAAUACCAGAAAUAAAAACAAAUAUUGCUAUUUAUUGAAAAAAUUUACGUAGCAUGAAAUUAAAUAAAUUGGCACAUAUUUAAAAUAUCUCGUCAGGAAAAAAAAAUUGUACCCCUAACAAACGUUUAAAUUUAAUAAUUUUCACAAAUGUUACUAAAUUUAACAAUGAGAGUUUGAUAAAUAUCUAAUCGUGAACAGAAAGUGUUCACUUUCGAAAAACAAAGAGGACCAAAAGUGAUCUAUUUUGACAAAUUUAAGGAUCAAAAUUGAUCCAAUCAUACAUUAGGGACUAUUUUGAAUCUACUAUAAAAAUGAUAAGGAACCAUUUUUUUGUUUUUUCAUUUUCUCUAUUAAGUUUCUUUGAAUUUUCUUCACACAUGCUAAACAAAAUUCCACAUAUUUACUUAUAUAUAUACUAUACUUAUCUCACAUUCAUAAUCACAAUAAUUUAGAUUUCUUUUCUCUCUACUACUCCUAUAGCAAAAUGGGGUUGUUUAACAUCUCAUUUUUGCUCAUUAGUCUCAUGGUAUUAACCAUAUUUCACACUUGUGAUUCCCAAAAUUCACCCCAAGACUAUUUUGCGGUUCACAACGAUGCCUGCGCCCAAGUUGGAGUUGGGCCAAUGUCUUAGGAUGCUUCACAACGAUGCCCGCGCCCAAGUUGGAAUUGGGCCAAUGUCUUAGGAUGCUGGCUUGGCAUCUCGAGCACAAAAUUAUGCCAACUCAAGAGCUGGUAAUUGCAACUUGAUUCAUUCUGGUGCAUGGGAGAACCUUGCCAAGACCGGUGGUAAUUUCACGGGGAGGGCCGCCGUGCAAUUGUGGGUAUCGAAAAAGCUAAACUACAACUACGGUACCCACCAAUGUGCUAGCGGGCAAAUGUGCGGACAUUAUACUCAAGUAGUUGGCGCAACUCAGUCCGACUAGGUUGUGGUCGGGUUCGUUGUAACAACGGGUGGUGGUUCAUUUCUUGCAACUAUGAUCAUGUAGGCAACUGGGCCGGAAAACGUCCUUAUUAAGGUGUCGUUUAUUUAUGACAUAUUGCUAGUAUUAAAUAAAAUUUUUAUAUUACAUGUCAAGGAGUUAAAAUUUAAAUCUGGCAAGUGGAUCGGAUCGAUCUCCUAUAUAUCCAAGAUGUUAAGGGAUCAAAUAUAUAAUUAUUGUUUUGAUUUCCCUUUGAUAUUGCUAGUAUGAAUAAUUCCACGUAUCAUAUGUUCAUGGUAUCGUGCUUAGGUUCUUUACUUUUUCAAAAUUAUGAAAUUUAUAUAUUAAAAAAUUAAGUGGAGUAAUUAAUUGGGAAAACUACAUAGAUAGAUCCAAUUAUGAAAAUUUAUCUAAUUUGGACUUUAUUCAAACUUUUUAUCUUUAAUGGAUCUAUGCCACAAACAAUUUAUCCGUUUAUCCACUUUCUCCUUUCUUAUUUCACGUAUGAUAUCAGAAUAACGUUAGCAUAACUAUUAUGAAUUUAUCUUUUGUGAUAUAUCUUGUCAGUAUCAUAUAGGAUUUAACUCUUUUUUUAAAAAUAAUUAAGAAAAAAUUAUUAAAGUCACAAUAUUAUUUACUAAACUCUACAUUAGAAGAAAUUAUAUUUUUUAAAUUAGAAUAGAGUUACCCUCAAUGAUACCAUGAUACUAUGUAGAUAUACUGCAAUUGUAUCAUGGACGAUUAAAUAUUCUCAUCGAAGGACUAAAGCGAACCAUAAUGAAAACAUUGUUCAAUUACUCAUUAAUACCAUCCGAGUAUAUUAUACUUGAUCAUAUCAAAGAGGAAGAAACAGUUCUUCAAUGAAGACAUUGUUUAAUGACACUUUUAUACCAUCAGAGUAUAUUAAUAUAUGACUGUAUUAUAUUGUGAUGAUAUAGUAUAUAAUUGUAUUUGAUUUUCAAAAUCACAGUGUAGUUUUGACGGACUCAAACUAGCAAGUCUUUUCCAAAACAAACAAGUAAUUCCAAACAAUUUGUAUUAUAUUUUAAUACGAACACAGUCAAAUAAAAAAAGAGAUAAGUGUCAUAAAUACACCUAAACUAUACAUUUUUUUGAGUUUUUUAAAAUAUUGAAAGUUUCAUUACCUAACCUAUCACUUUUUAGUUUGAGAAACACACCUCUCUCUUUUAUACCACUUUCAUCAUGAUAUGUGUAAUACACACUCUCUCUCUUUUAUUUUAAAGAAUUUUCACAUCACACUCCACAUGGACAAAAUAUUCAAUCUUGACAAAAAAUAAAUAAAUUAUUAGUAUUAGUUAAAAUUAAAAAUUAAGAAACUAUUAUAAAAAAUAAUAUUUUCUUUAUAAAAGAAAAUGUAAAAUAUUUUUCUUAUCCCGCGCUGUUUCUUAAAGUUUUUUAUUUUGUUUAAAUUUCUUUUAUAAAAGUAUUUCAUUUUUUACUUCAUCUCCUCCCCUUCAUCAAAUACUAAUUUAAGUAUUAUUGUAUUUGCUUAAAAAUAUAAUUCUACCCAUCUCACUUAAUCCUCAGCUUUCAGUUUUUUCCCCAGUGUUUAGGUAUAUAUAUAUCGAAAAUAUUUUUACUUGUUGUCAUAAGACUUUUUAUUUUUUUUAGUUGUUUAUGUUAUAUUCGGUACACUAGUAGAAUUUUUUUCUCUAAAAAUAUAUGUACGUGCAUAUCUAAC
RNAcentral lists this long non-coding RNA (7582 nucleotides) under Solanum lycopersicum (tomato). RNAcentral describes it as "long non-coding RNA (SLYC_LNC000603)". Lineage: Eukaryota; Viridiplantae; Streptophyta; Magnoliopsida; Solanales; Solanaceae. The record is from RNAcentral.